AGUGAACGCUGGCGGUAGGCCUAACACAUGCAAGUCGAACGGCAGCACAGUAAGAGCUUGCUCUUACGGGUGGCGAGUGGCAAACGGGUGAGGAAUACAGCGGAAUCUACAUUUUAGUGGGGGGUAACGAAGGGAAACUUACGGUAAUAACGCAUACGACCUACGGGUGAAAGCAGGGGCUCUUCGGAACUUGCGCGAUUGAGUGAGCGGAUGUCGGAUUAGCUAGUUGGAGGGGGAAAGGCCGACCAAGGCGACGAUCCGUAGCUGGUCAGAGAGGAGGACCGGCCACACUGGGACUGGAACACGGUCCAGACUGCUACGGGGGGCAGCAGUGGGGAACAAUGGACAACGGGCGCAAGCAUUAUCCAGCCAUACCGCGUGGGUUGAGAAGGCCUUCGGGUUGUAAAGCCGUUUUGUUGGGAAAGAAAAGCAGCAGUUUAAUACCCCGCUGUUCUGACGGUACCCAAAGAAUAAGCACCGGCUAACUUCGUG
RNAcentral lists this ribosomal RNA (492 nucleotides) under uncultured bacterium. RNAcentral's name for it is "partial 16S ribosomal RNA". It matches the Rfam family "Bacterial small subunit ribosomal RNA", at positions 29 to 507 of the family's 1533-position model. The record is from RNAcentral.